RNAcentral lists this long non-coding RNA (510 nucleotides) under Equus caballus (horse). RNAcentral's name for it is "lncRNA (ENSECAG00000047576.1)". The record is from RNAcentral. Lineage: Eukaryota; Metazoa; Chordata; Mammalia; Perissodactyla; Equidae.
CAUUUUGGGCCGAAAGCAACGUAAAGCUGCAAGCAGCGCUCACCCACCCUCAGAGCUGCUUUACAAUGUAUCAGCGAUACCUGCGCACACAGCCCUCGGAUUUCCCCCCAGCUUUAUUGAGAUAUACUUGACAGAGCUCCCUUCUUCAGCUGUGGCCAGAUCUACUCUCUUAGCAAAUUUCAAGACUACAAGACAGUGUUAUUAACCAGAAUCCCCACACCUCACAUUGGACCCCCAGAACCUGUUCAUCCUCCAUAACCGCAACUUUGUACCCCUUGACCAAUACCUCCCCAUUUCCUCCAAGCCCCAACCUCUGAUAGCCACCAUUCUAAUCUCUGCUUUUAUGAGUUCAGCUCUUUCAGAGACCUCGCCUUCUUUUAAAGCACGGAGAGGAUUCCAUUGUAUGGAUAUACCGGAGAGGAUUCCAUUGUAUGGAUAUACCGUAGUUUCUUCAACCACUCCCUAUGCAGAUAUAGGUUACUUCUGUUGUUUUUUCCCUCUUUUUUACAA